CCUGUUCACGCGUGUGUUACAACAGUGCUACACAGAUCCAGCAUGAAGAAAAACUCUGGUACACAUGCAGAACUCACCUGUAGUCACCUGCAGCACACAGUAGAGGAGAUACACACACACCAGCAUCUUUAACCAAGACUGGAACUGACACUCAUUUCAGACGGUUCCUCAGAGAGACCAACCUGCAGACCACUCGACAAGAGGUGUGGCAUCUCUAUGACAACACUUUCUAUUUGUUCUGGAGUAAUCAUGGAGACUGCAAUACAGCUGAGAGAUUCUGUGCAAGAAGGAAUGCUAGUCUAGCCACUGUAUCAGAAUUUAACAGGGUCUGGCUACAGUCACAGAUGACCAAUGGAAAGAACUUUCUGGUGAGGGCUGGCAGAUCAGACACUUCUGGAGACUACUCCUUAAUUAUGGACAAAGAUUCUGAGUGUGACCUCCUGGGUGUGCGCCAUGACCUCAGCUCUCUAGGUGGGACAUCAAAAUGUAAACAUGCGGGACAUUACAGUACAUAGAGACAGCCUGUUACCCCUGCUUUCAAAGAAGAUGUGAUCACUCUGUCUAAAAUCCUCAAAUCCAUCUUAAUGAAGAAAUGUCAAAAGAUUAAGGAAGGAAUCUUGGACCAUGGAAGCUUAACCCUUCUGAGUGAGAUCUACAUGGAGCUCUACAUCACAGAGGGAGUGGAGAAGUUCAUUCUGGACUGGGUGAAAGAACAGCGAAUCAGGACGUUGUCUUCAUGUUUCCACUUCCUUUCAGGGAGCUGAAUUUGAUAAAGGAGAAAAAGCUCAGUCUGGUGGAGCUUCUUUGUUGCUUUUUUCCACAAACAAAAUCAAUACCAUUAAUAGACUCUGAGGCUUACAAAGUCAUUUUCAUCUUUGAAAAUGUGGUAUCGUGAUGAUGGAUUAAGUUUUUGUUGACUAAAUUAUCACUAUCUACCUAGCUGACAGUAGCUAGAGGAUGAAAUGGCUCCUGUACAUUAACUAGCUAGCUAUUUCAAAGCUCCUUAUACAUGUAUAUACUGUGCACGAUGCAAGUACCAUUAUCUGGCACUAUACAACUACCAUUGUAAACAACCUCAAAGUCAUUAUUUUCAAUCAAAAUUAUUGUAAUGAGAAGCCAUCAUCUAAUUCAGCAGUUUAACUAGUGUUAGCUAAUUGUUUUGAGUAACGUUUACCAUAACAUUUGUCAGUGUCCUCAAGUCGUAUAAAAUAUCCUGUCAGAAUUUUGAUUCAUUGAGUCAUUGAUUAUCUUUGCAGGUUAUCAUCAUCAAACAUUUAUCUAGCACACUGCAGAUUUGCUUUAAACAGUCAACAGAUAAAUACACUUAGGGUUGACCAACAUGUUGGCUCGUAUUCUCUAUGUCCAGAAGUUAAAUGGAUGGGCUUCAAUAUAAUGUUUUGGCAUGUUUUUUUUUAAUAGUUUUUUUUUAAUUAAAAACAGUCCUUUACAUCAAAUCAGGAUUUUCCCUGAAGGUUUGGUUGGAACAAUCUGAUUAAAAAAACAAAACA
Electrophorus electricus (electric eel) is the source of this 1508-nucleotide non-coding RNA. NCBI's taxonomy places the organism in Eukaryota, Metazoa, Chordata, Actinopteri, Gymnotiformes, Gymnotidae. The record is from RefSeq and is a predicted model, not a curated record.